Molecule: ribosomal RNA, 383 nt
Filed under: uncultured eukaryote
Lineage: Eukaryota
Description: partial 18S ribosomal RNA
Rfam family: Eukaryotic small subunit ribosomal RNA
Source: RNAcentral
CAAUAGCGUAUAUUAAAGUUGUUGCAGUUAAAAAGCUCGUAGUUGGAUUUCUGGUGGGAGCGAUCGGUCUGGCGCUUAGCGCGAGUACUUGCAUCGUCUCCGGCCAUCCUUGGGGAGAGUCUGUCUGGCAUUAGGUUGUCGGGCAGAGGAUCCUCAUCGUUUACUGUGAAAAAAUUAGAGUGUUCAAAGCAGGCUUAUGCCGUUGAAUAUAUUAGCAUGGAUUAAUAAGAUAGGACUUUGGUACUAUUUUGUUGGUUUGCGCACCAAAGUAAUGAUUAAUAGGGACAGUUGGGGGUAUUCGUAUUCCGUUGUCAGAGGUGAAAUUCUUGGAUUUACGGAAGACGAACUACUGCGAAAGCAUUUACCAAGGAUGUUUUCAUUAA